GUCCACGCUGUAAACGAUGAGGACUAGUUGUCGGAGGGGUCUGCCUUUCGGUGACGCAGCUAACGCGUUAAGUCCUCCGCCUGGGGAGUACGGCCGCAAGGUUGAAACUCAAAGGAAUUGACGGGGCCCGCACAAGCGGUGGAGCAUGUGGUUUAAUUCGACGCAACGCGAAAACCUUACCUGCCCUUGACAUGCUAGGAAUCCUUCAGAGAUGAGGGAGUGCCUUCGGGGAACCUAGACACAGGUGCUGCAUGGCUGUCGU
Molecule: ribosomal RNA, 262 nt
Filed under: uncultured bacterium
Lineage: Bacteria
Description: partial 16S ribosomal RNA
Rfam family: Bacterial small subunit ribosomal RNA
Source: RNAcentral